UGUUUAUGUUUGAUUUUAUUAUGUCUGGCUAGUUCUUUUAAUCUGAACCUAGGGUUUGUACAUAGCUGAUUAAUUAUGUGUUUUUGAUUUAUUGAUAUCAAUUUGCCUUCCAACUUGUGAUUCAUGAUUCCUGGUGCUUGAUUUCUUGUGAAUUAUCUGAUCAAUGAUUUACAUGUCUAGCUGUUCAGUUUGAGUCUUGAAUGCGAUAAUUGUUCAGCCGAUUCAGGAAUGCAUGAUAUAGUGUUAGCCUUGAGUCUUGAAUGCGACAGGUGAAGCUAUAGGAAGCUAUUCUUUAUGUGCUAUUUGGAGUUAAUUAAUUCCUUGGAGUCUUGAAUGCGAAAA
This 342-nucleotide long non-coding RNA is filed under the name Salvia miltiorrhiza (redroot sage). RNAcentral describes it as "long non-coding RNA (SMIL_LNC012996)". Lineage: Eukaryota; Viridiplantae; Streptophyta; Magnoliopsida; Lamiales; Lamiaceae. The record is from RNAcentral.